RNAcentral lists this ribosomal RNA (269 nucleotides) under uncultured prokaryote. RNAcentral's name for it is "partial 16S ribosomal RNA". It matches the Rfam family "Bacterial small subunit ribosomal RNA", at positions 524 to 792 of the family's 1533-position model. The record is from RNAcentral.
UACAGAGGUGGCGAGCGUUGUUCGGAUUUACUGGGCGUAAAGGGCGCGUAGGCGGCCCCGUGUGUCGCGUGUGAAAUCCCCGGGCUCAACCCGGGAAGUGCGCGCGAAACUGCGGGGCUCGAGCGGAGGAGGGGAGAGCGGAAUUCAUGGUGUAGCGGUGAAAUGCGUUGAUAUCAUGAGGAACACCGGUGGCGAAGGCGGCUCUCUGGAAUCCUGCUGACGCUGAGGCGCGAAAGCCGGGGGAGCAAACAGGAUUAGAUACCCUGGUA